This 776-nucleotide ribosomal RNA is filed under the name uncultured Neocallimastigales. Its description in RNAcentral is "partial large subunit ribosomal RNA". It matches the Rfam family "Eukaryotic large subunit ribosomal RNA", at positions 25 to 634 of the family's 3401-position model. The record is from RNAcentral. Lineage: Eukaryota; Fungi; Neocallimastigomycota; Neocallimastigomycetes; Neocallimastigales.
ACACUGACGUCGCGACGCAUAUCAAUAAGCGGAGGAAAAGAAACUAACAAGGAUUCCCUUAGUAACGGCGAGUGAAGCGGGAAGAGCUCAAAUUUGAAAUCUUCAAGGUUCUACCUUGACGAAUUGUAGUUUAAAGAGGUGUUUUCUGUUAGAUGAGUAGCAAAAGUUCCUUGGAAUGGGACAUCAUAGAGGGUGAGAAUCCCGUAUUUGGUUAUUCAUUCUAGCUUUGUGAUACACUUUCAAAGAGUCGGAUUGUUUGGGAAUGCAGUCCAAAAUGGGUGGUAAAUCUCAUCUAAAGCUAAAUAUUGGCGAGAGACCGAUAGCGAACAAGUACCGUGAGGGAAAGAUGAAAAGAACUUUGAAAAGAGAGUUAAACAGUACGUGAAAUUGUCAAAAGGGAAGCGUUUGACACCAGUGUUGUUUUUCCGAAAAUCAAUUAUAAAUGUUUUGUUUCUGAGGAGUGAUGACUUCAUCGGCUUCCUUCUCUCUUCACGAAACUUUUGUAAUGCACUUUUCGGUUAACAAGUCAACAUCAAUUUCUUUUGUUGUAAAAGAGUAUUCGGAAGGUGGCUUUCUUUUCGGAGAAAGUGUUUAUAGCCCUAUACUUCUACAAUCGGAGAGAUUGAGGUCUGCAGCGUAGAUCCUUCGGGGUUAGAUACAUUUGUGCUAAGUUAUAGCUUUUCAUAGACAACUUGUUGACUAUGUUUAGUCAUGUCGGCUUACUCGCUUAGUGCUAUUUUACCUACGCUUAGGAUGUUGAGUCGUAGAGCACGCAG